This is a long non-coding RNA of Malaclemys terrapin pileata, 1454 nucleotides long. RefSeq lists it as uncharacterized. Lineage: Eukaryota; Metazoa; Chordata; Testudines; Emydidae. The transcript has 5 exons. The record is from RefSeq and is a predicted model, not a curated record.
GUGUGUGAGAGAGAGGAGGGGGGAGGGAAGAGCUCGUUUGCGCCGCACUCCUCUCCCUGGCUGUAAUUGUCUAUUAUUUCUGCAGGCAGCAGAGCAGCCUCGCUCAGCUGAGGGCUCCGCACCACAACAAGAUUUACUUUAAGACACAGCUGAAGGAAACAGGAAGACUACACGUCACAGUCUGAAUGACGUGGGCCAGGCCAAGCGCCCAAUCGGGAGGCUCCUUCGGAUUGAAGGGGGGAUAGUGAACCGAGAACUUGGGAGGAAAAAAAAAAAAAAAGAGGGCUGGGGGGAGAAAGAGGAGGAGAAACUGGAUCCCUUCCCCAGCCCCCCACCCAGUGCUGCAGGGAAGGAGACUUUAUCACCUAAUCUGGUGCUUCCAUUGAGAGAGCCAUCUGCAAGCAGCAGCAGCUAAGAGCAGCACUUGAUCUACUUCUGAAUCUUGCCACUCACUCCAGGUCCUGCAGUGCAUGGCAGAUCAGUUACCUAAAGAGCCGCAAAGCUCGUCUGGGUGAUGUUACUGCACAGCAAAAGCUGCACCGCAGUUAUGGAUAAGUAAAUGAAAGGAGACACCCUACCUCAGCUAUUUAGUAAUUUGGGGGCGGGGGUAUUUCAAGAUAAAGUAACUUAAAAAAAAAAACGGAAAUAGAGAAAAGUCUUCAGCAAAGUGAGGAGUGCUGACCAAGGCAUACACACCGCAGGAAAAGAGGGAAAAACAAACCUUUGGAAGGAAAAGUCAGAGCAGACAGGUUAAGCCGCUUUGAAAAAGGCCCCUACUUCGGAUCAACUCAUUAUCCCGAAUAAACGAUGUGUCAUUCCCAUUAUUUAUGUUUCACUGCAGCCAAAGUAUCUGGAUCUCGUUUUGGUCUAAUUUUCUUCCCCUGUCUCUUUCAGUCAGAUGGCUUGCUAGCUGUAUAUGGAGGCUGUGACCUGCCAAGGGAAAAUUUCUCAGAUAUCUAGAUAAGUUUUAGAGAUUGCAAGCAGGAGACUCAACAGCUGUAACAACACCUGGAGGAUACUUGGCAGCUGCAAGUCGCAGAUGCUGAGUUCGGUAAUGUACUUUCCUGUACAAGCAUCUGAGUGUUUUGUUGGCUGCUUGAAAGUUUUCACUGGUGUCUGAAUGGCUUGCUCCACAACUAGCUACAAUAUGCUGAUGGUUGUGUCCAAUCACCCCUGGAGUAUAGGGAUCAAUCUGUCUGAUGAGCAAGAUGACUUACCUCCUCCAAGAUGCUGCUAUCAUUUGCCCUUACUUAUUGGUAAGAGCUUUGCAUGCUUUAGCAGCGUACAGGGCCAAUCAGAGGGGGGACCAGGAGAGCCAUUUGGCUGGGCUUCAAGCUCAAAGGGGGCCUCAAAUUUAGACACUUGUUAAUUUUUUGGCAUUUGAUAAGUUUUGCAACUUGUUUUUAUGUGCACGAGAGCUAGAUUUUUCCUCAAUAAUUAGUGCAUUUGCACAG